AACGAACGCUGGCGGCAUGCCUAACACAUGCAAGUCGAACGAGACCUUCGGGUCUAGUGGCGCACGGGUGCGUAACGCGUGGGAACCUGCCCUUAGGUUCGGAAUAACUCCCCGAAAGGGGUGCUAAUACCGGAUAAUGUCUUCGGACCAAAGAUUUAUCGCCUUUGGAUGGGCCCGCGUUGGAUUAGCUAGUUGGUAGGGUAAAAGCCUACCAAGGCGACGAUCCAUAGCUGGUCUGAGAGGAUGAUCAGCCACACUGGGACUGAGACACGGCCCAGACUCCUACGGGGGGAAGCAGGGGGGAAUAUUGGAAAAGGGGCAAAAGCCUGAUCCACAAAUGCCGGGGGGGGGAUGAAGGCCUUGGGGUGGUAAAGCUCUUUUACCCGGGAUGAAAAUGACAGUACCGGGAAAAAAAGCCCCGGCUAACUCCGU
RNAcentral lists this ribosomal RNA (432 nucleotides) under uncultured bacterium. Its description in RNAcentral is "partial 16S ribosomal RNA". It matches the Rfam family "Bacterial small subunit ribosomal RNA", at positions 29 to 506 of the family's 1533-position model. The record is from RNAcentral.